RNAcentral lists this long non-coding RNA (2314 nucleotides) under Lynx pardinus (Iberian lynx). Lineage: Eukaryota; Metazoa; Chordata; Mammalia; Carnivora; Felidae. The record is from RNAcentral.
CGGCCCUGGAGCGUGUCCUCACGGGCACUCAGACCCGCGCUCGGUGUGGUCGUUUUCUGGUCGUGACCUGAAGUCUCACCCGCGCAUUUGCUUGAACUGGAAGAGCCCAGCGUGCUCGGUUUGCUAUUUUCAUUUCAGUCCGUCUGUCGUCAAGCUUCACGUUCUCUCCGCAUUGCAGGUUUGACGUCAGAAUUCACCGGCAGCGCCCGUUCUCCUUCGGAAUUCGUAUUUCCGUGCUUCACUCGGUGGGUUUCCAGAUGAUGGGUCAGCUUUAACCCCAGUAAAGCCUUCAGCAGCCUUUCGCAUUUGUGUACGUUAAUGACUCGUCUUGCCUCAGGAGUAGCCCGAAAAACACCCCCAAAGCCAGUCUCCCACAUUCUCCAGCCUGUGCCGUAAUACGUGUUGCCUCGGUGACAGCCCGUAGUGGCUGCAGCCUUGGCUCCCGACCCUGAAAGAGCAGGACCGCGCUAGGAGCCAAGAAUGUGUGCUGUGCCGGAAGAACCCCCAACAACCAGGACGUAGCCACUGCUGCUCCCGACUUUGGGCGUUUCUGUUACCUGGGGACGCCUGCACCCUGGGAGGCCUCCGCCCCAACCCUAUAGAGGACCUCUGGCGGCAGUGGCGGAUGUCCCGCCGCCGAGGAGCAGAUCCUGACCAUCCUGCCCGCGGAGCACCAGGCCCGGGUGUUAGAGCAUCAGCCAGAGAGCAGGGAGGAGGCGGCGAUCGCGUGGGGGCUUUGCAGAGAGAGCUCCACGAAACAGGUCGGCAGGCGUGAUUAAAUGAAUGAAUAGCCAGCCAGGGAGACAAGCAUCCGUACAGCCAUGGGAGCAGGGUUGCGGAGCUUCAGGCCCCCUCGACCAGGCUACAUGUACUGGUGCCUGCGUUACUUACCUUGAUCCUUUCUGGUUUCUUUCUUUCUUUCUUUCUUUCUUUCUUUCUUUCUUUCUUUCUUUCUUUCUGGUUUCUUUCCUUCCUUCCUUCCUUCCUUCCUUCUUUCUUUUCUUUCUUUCUUUCUUUCUUUCCUUCCUUCCUUCUUUCUUUUCUUUCUUUCUUGAAUCUUUUUUUCUUUCUUUCUUUCUUUCUGGUGUCUUUCUGGUGUCUUUCUUUCCUUCCUUCCUUCUUUCUUUUCUCUCUUUCUUUCUGGUUUCUUUCUUUCUGGUUUCUUUCCUUCUUUCUUUCUUUUCUUUCUUUCUUUCUUUCUUUCUUUCUUUCUUUCUUUCUGGUUUCUUUCUUUCUGGUUUCUUUCUUUCCUUCCUUCCUUCUUUCUUUUCUUUCUUUCUUUCUUUCUUUCUUUCUUUCUUUCUGGUUUCUUUCUUUCCUUCCUUCUUUCUUUUCUUUCUUUCUUCCCUUCUUUCUUUAUUUCUCCCUUCCUUUCUUUCUCCCUUCCUUCCUUCCUUUCUUUCUUUCAACGUUUAUUCAUUUUUUCGAGACAGCCCGAGUGGGUAGGGCGUGGGGACACAGAAUCCAAAGCAGGCUCCACGCUGGUCAGCACAGAGCUCCACAAGAGGACUCAAAUGCACGAACCGGGGAGAUCAUGACCUGAGCCGAAGUUGGACUCUUAACCAACUGAGCCACCCAGGCCCCUGAUCUUUUCUGGCUUCUUACUUCUUGAAGGUGGAACAGACUGUGUGUGCAUUUUUCUCUAUUCUGUGCCUAGAGAGUUGUUCCCUGAGGUGUCUUUAUAAUCAGGUAUUAAUUCUGGUUCACUCAUUGAGUCUUUCACAAACCCAACCAUAUCUUAAUUGUUUCCAGGUUGUAGCCAGGACAGGUGGAAUAGGAGUGUGUUCAGAGUUUCCUCACCAGGCAGCACAGAAGCCACCAGCUAUUCUAGGCCAAGAAACAUGUAGACUUCCAGGCCAUUCAUGAACAAGGUAAGCGUCAGGAUCCAUCUUGAGAGAGGGUGGCCGAAAGCUGUGCCAGCUAUCUAGGUUGAAAAGCAAUUCGGAACACCUGAGACAGAAACACGGUGCUGAAUCCAACUGAAUAUCUGUCCUCUCAAGUACAGCAUUCCAGCUUGGGCAGCACUAGCAGAGGACGUGAUGCGGAAUAACAUAACGCUGUCGUCCCUAUUAUCUGACUCGUGAGGAAGCUGUACAGCAUUCCUAACCUCAUUGAACAACCUUUUCAGACUGCUCUCAUAACGUUUAUCUUUACUUAAAGCUAUUUGUGUUUUCAUCAUAUGUAAUCAUAGCCUAACCUCUACUGUACAUUUAGUACUUGCUCUGUAAAGCAGAACUCACUCUUUUGUAUUAAAAUGACCUUUUCUGAAUUUCCCACAUCCUUUGAAGCCAUUUUGUACCUCUUUUCUGUUCCC